GAGUUUGAUCUUGGCUCAGGAUGAACGCUGGCGGCGUGCCUAACACAUGCAAGUCGAGCGAAGCAUACAGGAGGAAGUUUUCGGAUGGAAUCCUGCAUGGCUGAGCGGCGGACGGGUGAGUAACGCGUGGGUAACCUGCCUUAUACAGGGGGAGUAGCAGUUAGAAAUAGACUGCUAAUACCGCAUAAGCGCACAGUACCGCAUGGUAGUGUGUGAAAACUACCGGUGGUAUAAGAUGGACCCGCGUCUGACUAGCCAGUUGG
Molecule: ribosomal RNA, 263 nt
Filed under: uncultured microorganism
Description: partial 16S ribosomal RNA
Rfam family: Bacterial small subunit ribosomal RNA
Source: RNAcentral